Molecule: ribosomal RNA, 253 nt
Filed under: uncultured bacterium
Lineage: Bacteria
Description: partial 16S ribosomal RNA
Rfam family: Bacterial small subunit ribosomal RNA
Source: RNAcentral
UACGUAGGGGGCGAGCGUUGUUCGGAAUUACUGGGCGUAAAGGGCGCGUAGGCGGCCACCCAAGUCAGAUGUGAAAGCCCUGGGCUUAACCUGGGGACUGCAUUUGAUACUGGGUUGCUUGAAUUCGGGAGAGGAUAGCGGAAUUCCCAGUGUAGAGGUGAAAUUCGUAGAUAUUGGGAAGAACACCGGUGGCGAAGGCGGCUAUCUGGACCGACAUUGACGCUGAGGCGCGAAAGCGUGGGGAGCAAACAGG